RNAcentral lists this small nucleolar RNA (406 nucleotides) under Trichophyton rubrum BMU01672. RNAcentral describes it as "HACA-box snoRNA". The record is from RNAcentral. Lineage: Eukaryota; Fungi; Ascomycota; Eurotiomycetes; Onygenales; Arthrodermataceae.
UGAUUUUACAUUUAAAAUAAUGAGUUCAGGUAUCUUUUACUUUUUAAUAGGUUUAAUACCAUUAGCAUUCAUAUUUGCUUUUUCAGGUUUAGAAUUAGGUAUAGCUUUUAUACAAAGUCAAGUAUUUAUAGUUUUAACUUGUUCUUACAUAAGAGAUUCAUUAGAAUUACAUUAAAUAAAUUCAAAUUAAAAAUAAUGAUAUAAAAAGGAAAGUCCAUAGUUAUAAUGUAUAUAUAAAUAUAAUAUUAAGAAUUUUGGAUUAUUUGAAGAAACAAAUAUCAAAUUUUAAUUUGAUAUAUCGAGCACUACUCCUAUACUAACUAAUAUAAAAUAUAUAACUAUAUUAACACUUUUUUUUUAGGGGUUAAAUACAGAAUAUGGCUUAAUUAUAUCUUAUUAAAACAAA